UACAUUUUGUAGAACAAGAAUUAGGCUCGUACGCAAGGAAAAGUAGAUCUUGGGGACAAAUAGUAGAUAAAAAUGUUCAAUCUCUGAUAAGUUAUACUUUAAUUAAUUAGAUGAUACGGCGCAUAUAAUUAAUUAAAGUUGGUGUAAAAAAUGAACGAAAAGCUUAGGUAAAGUUAGAAAUGGCUACUUCUAAAAUAUUAAAAGAGUAAAGAACGAAUGAAAGUUGAAAUAACCAACAUGUAAAGCAUAAAAAUAAGAAAAAUCAAACAAUUAAAUGUAUCUUAUUCUAAAUGAUCAAACAUUAACCACCAAAGUUUGUGGUGGAGUAAUCAGUAAGUAAUUAACCAAAGUUUUAAGGUUCGAGCCCCAAUAUGAAGUUGUCUUUGGAUAAAGAGUGCUUUAUAAUCCAUAAGGUGGGACUUUCCUGACAUGAAUCUGGAUUAGUCGUCGGGCUUCAAAGUUAGUAUGUAUCAUACAGGGGAGAUGGAAAUAAAAAAAGAUGAUCACAUUAUGGACACAUGAUAUAAUCUUGAUGAAAAGAAAAGUCUCCUUGAUUGAAAGGAUCAAGCUUGUUAUGGCAUGGAGAUGAAUCAGAAGGUGGCACUGGUCCUCUUGGAAGCUGGUUUUGAAGCAAACUCUGAUAAUUCUUCUCUUGUAUAUAUCUUAUGCUUUCAACUUUAGAAGCCAUUGAUGUAAGUAGAAGAAGAAAAACCAAAGCCCUUAGAUUAAAUCUCUCACAAACUGACAUUUUCUUUGCUCCUUUUAUCUUCUUUUUCUUUCACCCUUUAAGAAUGUGUUGAAUGGGAAAAUUAAAUUUUUUUAAGAAUAUGUUGAAGUUUAUAUUAUUCCAUAUAAGAAAGGAUUCAUGGGGCUUGUGCAGACAAAGAGGAA
This 891-nucleotide long non-coding RNA is filed under the name Nicotiana benthamiana. RNAcentral describes it as "long non-coding RNA (NBEN_LNC015797)". The record is from RNAcentral. Lineage: Eukaryota; Viridiplantae; Streptophyta; Magnoliopsida; Solanales; Solanaceae.